GAUGAACGCUGGCGGCGUGCCUAAUACAUGCAAGUCGAGCGAACGGACGAGAAGCUUGCUUCUCUGAUGUUAGCGGCGGACGGGUGAGUAACACGUGGAUAACCUACCUAUAAGACUGGGAUAACUUCGGGAAACCGGAGCUAAUACCGGAUAAUAUUUUGAACCGCAUGGUUCAAAAGUGAAAGACGGUCUUGCUGUCACUUAUAGAUGGAUCCGCGCUGCAUUAGCUAGUUGGUAAGGUAACGGCUUACCAAGGCAACGAUGCAUAGCCGACCUGAGAGGGUGAUCGGCCACACUGGAACUGAGACACGGUCCAGACUCCUACGGGAGGCAGCAGUAGGGAAUCUUCCGCAAUGGGCGAAAGCCUGACGGAGCAACGCCGCGUGAGUGAUGAAGGUCUUCGGAUCGUAAAACUCUGUUAUUAGGGAAGAACAUAUGUGUAAGUAACUGUGCACAUCUUGACGGUACCUAAUCAGAAAGCCACGGCUAACUACGUGCCAGCAGCCGCGGUAAUACGUAGGUGGCAAGCGUUAUCCGGAAAUAUUGGGCGUAAAGCGCGCGUAGCGGUUUUUUAGUCUGAUGUGAAAGCCCACGGCUCAACCGUGGAGGGUCAUUGGAAACUGGAAAACUUGAGUGCAGAAGAGGAAAGUGGAAUUCCAUGUGUAGCGGUGAAAUGCGCAGAGAUAUGGAGGAACACCAGUGGCGAAGGCGACUUUCUGGUCUGUAACUGACGCUGAUGUGCGAAAGCGUGGGGAUCAAACAGGAUUAGAUACCCUGGUAGUCCACGCCGUAAACGAUGAGUGCUAAGUGUUAGGGGGUUUCCGCCCCUUAGUGCUGCAGCUAACGCAUUAAGCACUCCGCCUGGGGAGUACGACCGCAAGGUUGAAACUCAAAGGAAUUGACGGGGACCCGCACAAGCGGUGGAGCAUGUGGUUUAAUUCGAAGCAACGCGAAGAACCUUACCAAAUCUUGACAUCCUUUGACAACUCUAGAGAUAGAGCCUUCCCCUUCGGGGGACAAAGUGACAGGUGGUGCAUGGUUGUCGUCAGCUCGUGUCGUGAGAUGUUGGGUUAAGUCCCGCAACGAGCGCAACCCUUAAGCUUAGUUGCCAUCAUUAAGUUGGGCACUCUAAGUUGACUGCCGGUGACAAACCGGAGGAAGGUGGGGAUGACGUCAAAUCAUCAUGCCCCUUAUGGUUUGGGCUACACACGUGCUACAAUGGACAAUACAAAGGGCAGCGAAACCGCGAGGUCAAGCAAAUCCCAUAAAGUUGUUCUCAGUUCGGAUUGUAGUCUGCAACUCGACUACAUGAAGCUGGAAUCGCUAGUAAUCGUAGAUCAGCAUGCUACGGUGAAUACGUUCCCGGGUCU
Molecule: ribosomal RNA, 1370 nt
Filed under: uncultured bacterium
Lineage: Bacteria
Description: bacterial SSU rRNA
Rfam family: Bacterial small subunit ribosomal RNA
Source: RNAcentral